UACAGAGGGUGCGAGCGUUAAUCGGAAUUACUGGGCGUAAAGCGUGCGUAGACGGCUAUCUAAGUCGGGUGUGAAAGCCCCGGGCUCAACCUGGGAAUUGCAUUCGAGACUGAAUAGCUAGGGCGCGGCAGAGGGAAGCGGAAUUUCCGGUGUAGCGGUGAAAUGCGUAGAUAUGCGGAGGAACACCGGAUGGCGAAGGCAAUCCCCUGGGCCUGCACUGACGCUCAUGACACGAAAGCGUGGGGAGCAAACAGG
This 255-nucleotide ribosomal RNA is filed under the name uncultured bacterium. RNAcentral's name for it is "partial 16S ribosomal RNA". It matches the Rfam family "Bacterial small subunit ribosomal RNA", at positions 524 to 776 of the family's 1533-position model. The record is from RNAcentral.